ACUCGCUUGGUGAAAUGGUAGACACGACAGACUCAAAAUCUGUUCCUUAAGGGUAUCGGUUCGAGUCCGAUAGUGAGUA
RNAcentral lists this transfer RNA (79 nucleotides) under Trebouxiophyceae sp. MX-AZ01. RNAcentral's name for it is "tRNA-Leu". It matches the Rfam family "tRNA". From Rfam's summary of the family: Transfer RNA (tRNA) molecules are approximately 80 nucleotides in length. Their secondary structure includes four short double-helical elements and three loops (D, anti-codon, and T loops). Lineage: Eukaryota; Viridiplantae; Chlorophyta; Trebouxiophyceae. The record is from RNAcentral.